CACCGGAUGCCGCCGAGUCGCUGCACGCAGCGAACCGGGGACCCACCGCACCACUGGGGUGAAUCCCGCCCGGGCAGCCGCCCGGCCGGGUAGGGCCGCUUCCCGCCCGAACCCGUCAGCUGACUCGGUAGGCGGCCACGGAAGACCCA
This 149-nucleotide small RNA is filed under the name Modestobacter caceresii. RNAcentral describes it as "c-di-AMP riboswitch aptamer (ydaO/yuaA leader)". It matches the Rfam family "c-di-AMP riboswitch aptamer (ydaO/yuaA leader)". Rfam says of the family: This family represents a conserved RNA structure found upstream of the ydaO and yuaA genes in Bacillus subtilis and related genes in other bacteria. The ydaO/yuaA element is thought to act as a genetic "off" switch for the ydaO and yuaA genes in its native state. It is believed that the element may be triggered during osmotic shock leading to activation of ydaO, a predicted amino acid transporter gene, and members of the yuaA-yubG operon which code for KtrA and KtrB K+ transporters. The record is from Rfam by way of RNAcentral. RNAcentral also lists the same sequence under 1 other name. Lineage: Bacteria; Bacillati; Actinomycetota; Actinomycetes; Geodermatophilales; Geodermatophilaceae.